This 396-nucleotide long non-coding RNA is filed under the name Anas platyrhynchos platyrhynchos (common mallard). RNAcentral describes it as "lncRNA (ENSAPLG00000019341.1)". Lineage: Eukaryota; Metazoa; Chordata; Aves; Anseriformes; Anatidae. The record is from RNAcentral.
AAUUGGGGCAACAUUUUCUGUGCUACCACAUUGUUAAAUCACAUUUAUCAUCAAUUAAACUUUACUUCUGUAUACUUUAUUUAUUUCCUGCUGAUAAACCUUACCAGCCUGAUUUGGAGAUAGAAAAAUACGUGAGCUGGGACAUGACAACUUGAGGAGCACAGUUAAAGAAACAUACCAGCUUCAACAGAAGAAGAGUCUGAGAAAUAAUUGAUUCAUCCUCCUCUUAUUGCCGGCUCUCCAGUUGUAUUGAUCUUCCUUGCCCUGAAGUUUUUCCUGGUGAGCAAACAACAGACACUUGACUUCCUGUCUCUUCUCUUUCCUACUAUGAGUUUGUUCUGAAUCCCUGGUGGGCUGAGACCUCCUAUUGACUUUAGAUGGGAAAUCUUCUUAUAA